Molecule: long non-coding RNA, 527 nt
Organism: Symphalangus syndactylus (siamang)
Lineage: Eukaryota; Metazoa; Chordata; Mammalia; Primates; Hylobatidae
Source: RefSeq, a predicted model, not a curated record
GCCACGUGAAUGGAAGACAUGGAGAUACGGACUGUUAACACCUUGUCAAACAUUUAUUGUCCCUUCCACCUCUAAACUUCUGUGAUAAUAGGUGAACAGGACCCACCUGGUGCAGAAUACUGCGAUACACACUGCGGAAUAAUUCAGAUCAACGUCGAGUCCUGCAGGCUCCACUUAUGAAGAAAGAGACAUUAUACAAAUGCGAGCUGUUGUCACAACAAUGAUAAGAAAUCAGGAGUCGAAAGAUGUGGAGUAAGGGGGAAUUUCAGAGAAACCACAAAACACAAAAUAGGAAACAGAGACAGGAGAAGAUUGCUAUGACAAAAAUGCAGAAGGUGAAAUCUUUGGCAGCCUCUUACUUCCCUGGAGAAUAUGAUAUUGUCAGGCUGAGGUGGAAGAAUCACAUGGUCAUACUGUAAGUGCUAUGGUUCUGAGUGGUAAUGUUAUUGAUCAGUUUUCAACCUGAGAUUUGUAGUGAUAAUCCCCACAAGUUGCUUGAGAUCCUGAACAGUGAGGUUUUUAAUGAG